CCUACGGGUGGCAGCAGUGAGGAAUAUUGGUCAAUGGGCGGGAGCCUGAACCAGCCAAGUCACGUGAGGGAAGACGGUCCUAUGGAUUGUAAACCUCUUUAGGCGGGGAGCAAUGCCGGGCACGCGUGCCCGGUGGGAGAGUACCCGCAGAAUAAGCAUCGGCUAACUCCGUGCCAGCAGCCGCGGUAAUACGGAGGAUGCGAGCGUUAUCCGGAUUUAUUGGGUUUAAGGGGUGCGUAGGCGGAUUUUUAAGUCAGCGGUAAAAGGUCCGGGCUCAACCCGGGCCGGCCGUUGAAACUGGCGAGCUUGAGUGGGCGGGAAGUAUGCGGAAUGCGUGGUGUAGCGGUGAAAUGCAUAGAUAUCACGCAGAACUCCGAUUGCGAAGGCAGCAUACCGGCGCCCGACUGACGCUGAGGCACGAAAGCGUGGGGAUCGAACAGGAUUAGAUACCCGAGUAGUC
Molecule: ribosomal RNA, 460 nt
Filed under: uncultured bacterium
Lineage: Bacteria
Description: partial 16S ribosomal RNA
Rfam family: Bacterial small subunit ribosomal RNA
Source: RNAcentral